This 589-nucleotide ribosomal RNA is filed under the name uncultured archaeon. RNAcentral describes it as "bacterial SSU rRNA". It matches the Rfam family "Archaeal small subunit ribosomal RNA", at positions 574 to 1160 of the family's 1478-position model. The record is from RNAcentral.
UCUGAGGAUACUGUCAGACUUGAAGUCGAGAGAGGUCGGAGGUACUCCUGGGGUAGCGGUGAAAUGUUAUAAUCCUGGGGGGACCACCAGUGGCGAAAGCGUCCGACCAGAGCGAGCUUGACGGUAAGGGACGAAAGCCAGGGGAGCGAACGGGAUUAGAUACCCCGGUAGUCCUGGCCGUAAACGCUGUGGGCUAGGUGUUGCAUGCUCUACGAGGGCGUGCAGUGCCGAAGAGAAGUUGAUAAGCCUACCGCCUGGGAAGUACUAUCGCAAGAUAGAAACUUAAAGGAAUUGGCGGGGGAGCACCACAAGGGGUGAAGUCUGCGGUUCAAUUGGAUUCAACGCCGGACAUCUCACUGGAAGCGACGGCAGGAUGACAGCCAAGCUGAUGACUUUGCUUGACGAGCCGAGAGGAGGUGCAUGGCCGUCGUCAGCUCGUGCCGUGAGAUGUCCUGUUAAGUCAGGUAACGAGCGAGAUCCCUGCCUCUAGUUGCCACCAUUACUCUCAGGAGUAGUGGGGCGAAUUAGCGGGACCGCCGCAGUUAAUGCGGAGGAAGGAAGGGGCCACGGCAGGUCAGUAUGCCCCGAA